AUACGUAGGUGGCGACCGUUGUCCGGAAUUACUGGGUGUAAAGGGCGUGUAGGCGGGGGAGCAAGUCAGGUGUGAAAUACCAAGGCUCAACUUUGGGGCUGCACCUGAAACUGUUCUUCUUGAGUACUGGAGAGGGAAGCGGAAUUCCUAGUGUAGCGGUGAAAUGCGUAGAGAUUAGGAGGAACACCAGUGGCGAAGGCGGCUUCCUGGACAGAGACUGACGCUGGGGCGCGAAAGCGUGGGGAGCGAACAGGAUUAGAUACCCUGGUAGUCCACGCCGUAAACGAUGGAUACUAGGUGUAGGAGGUAUCGACACCUUCUGUGCCGGAGUUAACACAAUAAGUAUCCCACCUGGGGAGUACGGCCGCAAGGUUGAA
RNAcentral lists this ribosomal RNA (377 nucleotides) under uncultured bacterium. RNAcentral describes it as "bacterial SSU rRNA". It matches the Rfam family "Bacterial small subunit ribosomal RNA", at positions 523 to 898 of the family's 1533-position model. The record is from RNAcentral.